RNAcentral lists this long non-coding RNA (294 nucleotides) under Brassica napus (rape). RNAcentral's name for it is "long non-coding RNA (BNAP_LNC019423)". The record is from RNAcentral. Lineage: Eukaryota; Viridiplantae; Streptophyta; Magnoliopsida; Brassicales; Brassicaceae.
GCUGCGUAUUGGUAAUUUUGGAUUCGGAUGAGUGCUCGAUCUUGGCACUCGUUAAUGAGAUCGAGAUCGUCGAGGAGCAUUGCGUUGUUGAGCUCCUCUCAUUUCGGAAGUAAUCUUGUUCGAACACCGGGGAACUCUACUUCUGCGGGAAUCAUGCAUUCCGUUCCGUACACCAGAGCGAAAGGGGUUUCUCCUGUUGCUCGCCUCGGAGUGGUACGGUGGGACCAGAGGACUCCCUCGAGUUCCUCGGCCCACCUGCCUUUUUUGGCCUCUAAGCGUUUCUUCAGUCCGUCG